CGGAGGAGCUAGCGUUGUUCGGAAUUACUGGGCGUAAAGAGUACGUAGGCGGUGAUUCAAGUCAGAGGUGAAAGCCUGGAGCUCAACUCCAGAACUGCCUUUGAAACUAGAUCGCUAGAAUCAUGGAGAGGUUAGUGGAAUUCCGAGUGUAGAGGUGAAAUUCGUAGAUAUUCGGAAGAACACCAGUGGCGAAGGCGACUAACUGGACAUGUAUUGACGCUGAGGUACGAAAGCGUGGGGGAGCAAACAGGAUU
Molecule: ribosomal RNA, 254 nt
Filed under: uncultured bacterium
Lineage: Bacteria
Description: partial 16S ribosomal RNA
Rfam family: Bacterial small subunit ribosomal RNA
Source: RNAcentral